RNAcentral lists this ribosomal RNA (433 nucleotides) under uncultured bacterium. Its description in RNAcentral is "partial 16S ribosomal RNA". It matches the Rfam family "Bacterial small subunit ribosomal RNA", at positions 29 to 507 of the family's 1533-position model. The record is from RNAcentral.
AACGAACGCUGGCGGCAUGCCUAACACAUGCAAGUCGAACGAGACCUUCGGGUCUAGUGGCGCACGGGUGCGUAACGCGUGGGAACCUGCCCUUAGGUUCGGAAUAACUCCCCGAAAGGGGUGCUAAUACCGGAUAAUGUCUUCGGACCAAAGAUUUAUCGCCUUUGGAUGGGCCCGCGUUGGAUUAGCUAGUUGUUAGGGUAAAAGCCUACCAAGGCGACGAUCCAUAGCUGGUCUGAGAGGAUGAUCAGCCACACUGGGACUGAGACACGGCCCAGACUCCUACGGGAAGCAGCAGUGGGGAAUAUUGGACAAUGGGCGAAAGCCUGAUCCAGCAAUGCCGCGUGAGUGAUGAAGGCCUUAGGGUUGUAAAGCUCUUUUACCCGGGAUGAUAAUGACAGUACCGGGAGAAUAAGCCCCGGCUAACUCCGUG